CGUGGAGGCAUCUCCAACGGUUGGAAAGAACUUCGGUCAAGGAUGGACUCGCGGCCUAUCAGGUAGUUGGUGAGGUAACGGCUCACCAAGCCUACGACGGGUAGCCGGCCUGAGAGGGUGACCGGCCACACUGGGACUGAGACACGGCCCAGACUCCUACGGGAGGCAGCAGUGGGGAAUAUUGCACAAUGGGCGCAAGCCUGAUGCAGCAACGCCGCGUGAGGGAUGACGGCCUUCGGGUUGUAAACCUCUUUUAGUAGGGAAGAAGCGAAAGUGACGGUACCUGCAGAAAAAGCACCGGCUAACUACGUGCCAGCAGCCGCGGUAAUACGUAGGGUGCGAGCGUUGUCCGGAAUUAUUGGGCGUAAAGAGCUCGUAGGCGGUCUGUCGCGUCUGCUGUGAAAACCCGAGGCUCAACCUCGGGCCUGCAGUGGGUACGGGCAGACUAGAGUGCGGUAGGGGAGAAUGGAAUUCCUGGUGUAGCGGUGGAAUGCGCAGAUAUCAGGAGGAACACCGAUGGCGAAGGCAGUUCUCUGGGCCGUAACUGACGCUGAGGAGCGAAAGCGUGGGGAGCGAACAGGAUUAGAUACCCUGGUAGUCCACGCCGU
RNAcentral lists this ribosomal RNA (608 nucleotides) under Cryocola sp. RNAcentral's name for it is "bacterial SSU rRNA". It matches the Rfam family "Bacterial small subunit ribosomal RNA", at positions 182 to 803 of the family's 1533-position model. The record is from RNAcentral. Lineage: Bacteria; Bacillati; Actinomycetota; Actinomycetes; Micrococcales; Microbacteriaceae.